RNAcentral lists this ribosomal RNA (253 nucleotides) under uncultured bacterium. RNAcentral's name for it is "partial 16S ribosomal RNA". It matches the Rfam family "Bacterial small subunit ribosomal RNA", at positions 524 to 776 of the family's 1533-position model. The record is from RNAcentral.
UACGUAGGGUGCGAGCGUUGUUCGGAAUUACUGGGCGUAAAGGACGCGUAGGCGGGCUGGUAAGUCGAUUGUGAAAUCCCCGGGCUUAACCUGGGAAUUGCAGUCGAAACUGCUAGUCUUGAAUGCUCGAGAGGAUGAUGGAAUUCCUGGUGUAGUAGUGAAAUACGUAGAUAUCAGGAGGAACACCGGCGGCGAAGGCGGUCAUCUGGCGAGACAUUGACGCUGAGGCGUGAAAGCGCGGGGAUCAAACAGG